Molecule: long non-coding RNA, 489 nt
Organism: Helianthus annuus (common sunflower)
Lineage: Eukaryota; Viridiplantae; Streptophyta; Magnoliopsida; Asterales; Asteraceae
Exons: 3
Source: RefSeq, a predicted model, not a curated record
UAUGUAGGGGAGUAGGGAAACUAUGGAUGAAUUGGAUGGAAACUCAUCUUCAAUUUGUAGCUGAAGUUAGCUUAAUUCCAAAUGUUUGAUGACAAAGAUUCGUUGUUGGAUACUUGGAUGUAUGUUCUUGAAGACUUUGGCAGUGAGAGGUCUGCUUUGGCAAAAGACAAAAUCUACACACACAUUAACCUUAAACAAAUGACUAUCAUCAGGCUCAUGCAGUGUUGAUAUAUGGUGGUCAAGCAAAUGCAGCAAUGGUAAUUUUUUCUUGGAAUGAGUUUUAAUUUCAUUAUUUGCGAAAGUGUUUAGGGUGAUUUUAGAUUUGAUAAAUAACUUGACAAUUAGGAUUUUGAUAUAAUUUCAUUUACUUUCUAUUGAUUUUUUUCCUAUGCUUACAAAUUCAUAGUUGGUUGCUUUUUCGUAACCUAAAUAUUGAAAAAGAAAUGGGGCAAGAUUCGGUGGAACAUUACCGAUAAAGUUUGGUGGCCA